RNAcentral lists this long non-coding RNA (446 nucleotides) under Androctonus crassicauda. Lineage: Eukaryota; Metazoa; Arthropoda; Arachnida; Scorpiones; Buthidae. The record is from RNAcentral.
AAUUUGAAAAUAUUCUUAUUGAAAUAACGUAGUCAUCAAUUGAAUAUAUUAUUACGUACUGUAGUUGUUGCAAUUGAGGAUUGCAUUUGUGUAAAUAUGAUGGUUAUAUAGUAUACAGAAUGGAGACGAGUCAAAUUCUGCCAUCUAAAGUUUUCUCCAGCAGCUUAGAAAUUUUUCAUGCUUGUUUAGUUUUAAAUUCGCCAUGGGUAAUCGCCAUCGGAGUUCAACCUUUCUUCCCGCAUCACUUGGUUUCGCAUUACAGUAUUAUUAUUAUUACUUGCUCCACUUCAAACUGGCUCCCAUAGUGCGAUGCACCCUUGGUACAUCUCCGCCUAGGCGCGGCUCCGUUUUGUUACGAAAAAACAUACUAAAAUUAUGCUACACUAGAAAAGAAAAUUUUGUUUAAAAUUGUUUUUAAAAUGAAUGUUUUCAGAAAUCAAAGAUGC